GAAUGAGCGGUUGGCUCGGGCUGGUUUCCUCCCUCCACCGCCUGCUUGUUUCGCCAUGCCCGGGCCGGACGGUGGGGCUGCAGCGGCGAAAGCGACUGAAGUCCGGGAGCAGUCGCAUGAGCUUCCCGGUCACCAGGAGGCCCCGGGAACAGACACCUCACCCUGACAUUGUGGCAGGAACUUCUGGAUUGCUUUCCAAAGUGGCUGCACUGUUUUCUAUCCCCACUGAAAAGCUUGCUAACUCCUGGUUUAAUAGAAUAAAAAGGGCUGGGCGCGGUGACUCACGCCUGUAAUCCUAGCACUUUGGGAGGCUGAGGUGGGCGGAUCACGAGGUCAAGAGAUUGAGACCAUCCUGGCCAACAUGGUGAUCAAAAGAUCGAGACCAUCCUGGCCAACAUGGUGAAACCCCGUCUCUGCUAAAAAUACAAAAAUUAGCUGGGCAUGGUGGCGUGCACCUGUAGUCCCAGCUACUUAGGAGACUGAGGCAGGAGAAUUGCUUGAACCCGGGAGGCAGAGGUUGCAGUGAGCUGAGAUUGUACCACUCGCAGUGAGCUGAGAUUGUACCACUCUACCCCAGCCUGGCAACAGAACGAGACUCCAUCUCAAAAAAAAAAAAAAAAAAAAAAAGGUAUGGAAAGCAAUUGACAUGUACUUGCUGUGUGACCUUGGGAAGUCACUUUAUGUCUCUGGUCUUUAUUUUUAUUAUCUAUA
Molecule: long non-coding RNA, 711 nt
Filed under: Homo sapiens (human)
Lineage: Eukaryota; Metazoa; Chordata; Mammalia; Primates; Hominidae
Description: HSALNT0408531
Source: RNAcentral